This 348-nucleotide long non-coding RNA is filed under the name Equus caballus (horse). Its description in RNAcentral is "lncRNA (ENSECAG00000043840.1)". The record is from RNAcentral. Lineage: Eukaryota; Metazoa; Chordata; Mammalia; Perissodactyla; Equidae.
CCCCAGUGCCUAGGAGAGAGCCUGGCACAGAAUAGAUGCUUGGAAAAUCUGUUAAAUGUUGAAUGACUUAACUGUAGCUGGGAUAUACAAAAUUAAGCUGUACGUGUCCUUAGACCAACUCACAACUGCACUAAACCAGCUUUCUUACCUGUCUCCUGUGUCAUGGACAGUGUCACCAUCCACCCCAGAAAACUGGGAGUCAUCCUGGAUUCCUCCUGUACUUUUAGCCCCUCUGGCGGCAGCAAGUUGAGGGGAACUCAGAGGACUUCAAAAGCCAUGGUUUUCAUGUGGACCUAAGUUUUCAACCCCUUUGGGAAGUACCAAGGAAGGUGAUCGCUGGAUUGUAUG